AUGAUGGAUAGGCCAAGUACUUCUACCAACCCACUCUUCAUCGAGCAAGAUGACGACAUGUCAUCAUUCGUCACCAAGAGCCACCUCUUUGGUGCACAACGAGCGUUGCAUCAAGAGCAACAAGCGAUGACUGACCGCAUUGACAACCUCGCCACCGACUUGCGACUCUCCGAGCAACGUACAAAAGACUACUUCGACAACAAGCUCGACGCUCACAAGCAAGAGAACGAUGCAAGAAUGGACGAGAUCCACGCCUUGUUGGUGAACCGUCCUCCUUCAACUUCUUCGUACUCAAGACGGAGCCGCUCAAGUCGACACUCCGACGACACCUUCUCCGGCUCAAGUACACCGACAUCGAACACUCUUCGACGAGCCGCGCGUCAAGACCGUCAUGCAUCUCGCAAUCCUCUACACGACGAGCAUUCACAAGAGCAAGUCGACGAGCAAGUACUUCGUCCUCAACCACACCAAGUUGCUUUUGCUCAAGCUCAAGAACGACAACGUCAACGGCACCAAGAGGAAGAACGAGCACGUCUACAUCAAGAGGAACAAGACGCCGAGGCUCAACGUCUUCAACAACAACAACGUGAAGCACAAGCUCUUGAGGCGCAACGUGCCCUUCAAGAAUCAAGUCGAGCCAUCGCCAACCGCAAUCGAGAUCGGCGCAAUCAAGAGGAAGCACUUCGAGAAGAAAUCCAAGAGCGAAACUACCAACCGUGCGUGCAACGUCAAGUUCCUCAAGCUCCUCCACAAGCUCGACAAGCUCCACCUCAACCUCAAGUUCAACAAGAGCUAGUUGAUCAUGGACUUCCUCCACGCCAAGAGCAACAUGACGAUGAUUAUCCGCCACGUCAAGGGCGUCAUCAUCACCAUCGCCAACAACACAAUGAAGAGCAACGCUAUGGCAAGCUAAAAUUCACCAUGCCCAAGUUCAAUGGAAGCAAUGAUCCCGAAGAGUACCUCUCAUGGGCAUUGAAGGUCGACAAAAUCUUUCGUUUGCACAACUAUGAGAAAGAGAAGAAGAUCGCUAUGGCAUCCCUUGAGUUCCAAGACUAUGUGCUCAUAUGGUGA
Molecule: ribosomal RNA, 1071 nt
Filed under: Triticum aestivum (bread wheat)
Lineage: Eukaryota; Viridiplantae; Streptophyta; Magnoliopsida; Poales; Poaceae
Description: partial small subunit ribosomal RNA
Source: RNAcentral